GAUAGAGGCGUGCUCGAAAGAGAGCCGUAACACAGGUGCUGCAUGGCUGUCGUCAGCUCGUGUCGUGAGAUGUUGGGUUAAGUCCCGCAACGAGCGCAACCCUUGUCAUUAGUUGCUACAUUCAGUUGGGCACUCUAAUGAGACUGCCGGUGACAAGCCGGAGGAAGGUGGGGAUGACGUCAAGUCCUCAUGGCCCUUAUAGGUGGGGCUACACACGUCAUACAAUGGCUGGUACAAAGGGUUGCCAACCCGCGAGGGGGAGCUAAUCCCAUAAAGCCAGUCGUAGUCCGGAUCGUAGUCUGCAACUCGACUACGUGAAGUCGGAAUCGCUGGUAAUCGUGGAUCAGAAUGUCACGGUGAAUACGUUCCCGGGUCUU
RNAcentral lists this ribosomal RNA (377 nucleotides) under uncultured Rhodoferax sp. RNAcentral describes it as "bacterial SSU rRNA". It matches the Rfam family "Bacterial small subunit ribosomal RNA", at positions 1003 to 1382 of the family's 1533-position model. Lineage: Bacteria; Pseudomonadati; Pseudomonadota; Betaproteobacteria; Burkholderiales; Comamonadaceae. The record is from RNAcentral.